This 281-nucleotide ribosomal RNA is filed under the name uncultured Glomeromycotina. RNAcentral describes it as "partial small subunit ribosomal RNA". It matches the Rfam family "Eukaryotic small subunit ribosomal RNA", at positions 548 to 835 of the family's 1831-position model. Lineage: Eukaryota; Fungi; Glomeromycota. The record is from RNAcentral.
UUGGAGGGCAAGUCUGGUGCCAGCAGCCGCGGUAAUUCCAGCUCCAAUAGCGUAUAUUAAAGUUGUUGCAGUUAAAAAGCUCGUAGUUGAACUUCGGGGUUUACUCAUUGGUCAGGCUUAAUGUCUGUACUGGUGAGAUGGAUCUCUACCUUCUGAGGAACUUUCAUGCCAUUUAUUUGGUGUGAUGGGAAAUCAGGAUUGUUACUUUGAAAAAUUAGAGUGUUUAAAGCAGGCUAACGUCUGAAUACAUUAGCAUGGAAUAAUGAAAUAGGACGGACUGA